AAAGAAUUAAAAACAAAAGAUUUUGAAAUGAAGACAAAGACCUAUUUCUUUAUUUUGCUCACCUUUUAUUGAAAGAGCUCCUCCUUAGCUCUUUUCUUUGCAUGGGCUUAAGGCAACUAUUGAUACCAGCACCCACCAUGGAGCAGACUUAUUGAGCUAACUUUCAUUAACUCAUUCAUUACAGAAGAUCGUUUGGCUGAUGUUUCUGUUCUCAAUGGCUUAUUUAUUUAAAUGAACACAAGUAGUUCUUAGAACUCAAAAAAAAACUGCUGAAAAGCCAACAGUUAACUUUUUCUUUCAUUAUUUUCAGGUCCUUCUGCCAUGUGCUCUAGUAAUUCCUAUUUUGUAUAUUGCAGGCUUUCAACUGUUUGGGUCAGGUAGGCGAGUAAGGUCUCAAAAUAUUCAGCAAUAGAUAUUUAUACUUCUAGUGAAUAUAAUUUUGGGUGGGCUUUUUUUCCUAUCAUCUCAGAACUAAGAGACAAGGCCCAAAGCUGACACAAACCAAAAACAUCAAAUUUGCUAAAGCAUCAGUGAUAACUAAGUCCAGCAGAAACAACCCUAUCUUACUGUUAUAGGUUGUGUAUGUUCCCUCAAAGUCCAAAUGUGGAAGUCUUGAGUCCUAGAACCUCAGAUGUAACUGUGUUUGGAGACAUUCUUUAAAGAGGUAAUUAAAUUAAAAUGCAUUAUUAGGGUGAGCCCUAAUCCAAUAUGACUGGUAUCCUCACAAGAAGAGGAAAUCUGGACUAAGUAGUCAGCAAAGCAAAUAAUUGCUGGUCUGUAAAAUGGGCAAAAUAAAAUUCACCUCAUAGGGUUGUGGUCAGGAUUAAUGAGACAGUGUAUACAAAUUUCUUAGCACUGUAAAUUCUGGAAUACAGUCAGUACUUAAAGAGUAGUAAUUAUUUUCAGUGUUCGGGGCUGUGCACCACUUCUAGGUAGUCUUAGUGCCGAUAAUUCUAAAUGCUAUGAUUUAACACAUACAUUCUAAGGAUAAAAUUAAUCUUAAUUUAUUUUAAUUUUUAAAAUAAUCAUGUGUACUACACAACAGUUUUAGAGGGGAAAGAGGGUUAUUAAAAAGGCUUAGAGAUGUAAGAUAUAUGCCUUGAUUACAGAGCCAGGAGUGGUGCAGCCAGACUUUGAGCCCCCAUGUCUCAAGGCCCCCAGCACAUGUUCCUACAUGUAGUGCCGUCCGAGCAUACAUCAGGGCUUUCUUGCAUCAUGAAAAGUGGGCAAUAGCACAAUUAAAAAAUGCCCCCAGCUCAUCUAGAGUCCCAUGUCUCUGCGUUUUUCAAUAUUUCUUCUCCCGCACAUUGUACUCAGAAGACACUUUCUCCUUUGAUGUCUCAGGAAGGCCCCGUGAAGAGCAGCUGACGGGAGCUGGCAGGCCCUCCCAGGAUGUCCUGAGCUCUUCACCAGAGGAGUGGUGGGCGUGAACAUCUUCCCUGCAUUGUUGUCCUUUUCAUCCAAGCUUUGUCUGCCGAGAAAGAGAGCAGCAUCUGUUCUCCGGGUGAGCAGAUGAUUAUACAAGACCUCAUGGUUUUACAUCAAAGAAGAGUGAAUUUUAAAACCUUUUGUGUGCGUGUGUGUGUGAUGGUGUUCAAGGUCCUGCAUUUUCAAAAAGCAAAGAGAGGGUCAUUUCCAAAUGUAAACACGUUGAAAGAGCAGUAGAAACAAUGGGAAUUUUUAAUAAGUGAAGGAAAAAAAAUAAAUGAUUCUCAUUGCCUUACAAAACACUACACCUGGGGUUUGGUUUUCUGUAUUAAAAUCCGGGGAGAAUAUUUCAUGAGCUAUGUGGGUUCCUCGUCCACACACACUAGUGAAAAUGGAGAUUUUUAUGGUUGGGAAAGCAAAGCAACUAUUUCUUUUACCUCCUAUAUGUAGUCACCUCUUGGCUUGGCAAUGGAUUGUUACUGCAUUCUAAAGAAAUGAGGGCCUAAAAUCUCUAAAUGGAAACUGAAUGAUUCAGUCCAUAAUGUGAGUUAGUAAACAUCCAACUUGUUAGAAACAUAACUACAGCAUCCUCAAUAGGUCCUCAAACACAGGGGGGUAACAGUCACUACAGGCAUUUAUUCUAUCUGCAAACUGUGUUCCACCAUCACUGCUGUAUCUUACACUGGCUGAGAAUUUUCUUCACAUACCUUUAUCAUCGGUAAGACUAGGCAGCACAGGAAGGCCAGAAAUGUAAAGAAAGGUUAUUGAUUCAGUUGUGUCAAAUUAGAAUUAGAGAAAAUAAGAUAUGUCACACAUUAAUACAUCCAAUGCUAGAAAGAAAUCUCUCAUUUUACCAAAGAUCACUAGGAAGGAUUAAAUUUGUAUAUGUUGGAUUGCCAUGAGACUUCAGACUAGUAUUUAAAGAAACCUGUAGUGGAACUGAGAAAAAUGACAGGCAUGCCCCUCAGGAAACACCAUGAAUCUGUGCCUUCUGUGAACUGAGCACAAAGGGCAGUGAGAGGAGAAGUGGAGAAGGAAGAGGCCGGACACAGACCCGGGAUUGAGAAGCGCUGGAAACCACUGCCCUUCUAGACCCGACCGAACAACGCCAGAGCUUGAUGCAGGGCUCUCUUCUAUUAAUCAGUCCUUUGUCCCUGGGGCCUGAGUGUCAGCUGGGAAGGAAGAGAUCACAAGGUUUCCAUUUGGUUUUAUUAAAUGUUCUCAUCCUGUGGAGAUGACCAGACUCUUGGUGUCCUGCCUGCAAUUGUUUUGGCUUUCUGAAUAGUCU
Molecule: long non-coding RNA, 2716 nt
Filed under: Sus scrofa (pig)
Lineage: Eukaryota; Metazoa; Chordata; Mammalia; Artiodactyla; Suidae
Description: lncRNA (ENSSSCG00055009866.1)
Source: RNAcentral